Neopelma chrysocephalum (saffron-crested tyrant-manakin) is the source of this 977-nucleotide long non-coding RNA. RefSeq lists it as uncharacterized. NCBI's taxonomy places the organism in Eukaryota, Metazoa, Chordata, Aves, Passeriformes, Pipridae. The record is from RefSeq and is a predicted model, not a curated record. The transcript has 3 exons.
UAGUAAUGUGGGCAGAUAAACAAUAUGUAUUCUGACAGUUAUACACUUAGUGUUGUUCCAAGCCUUUAAAUAGACUGUGCCCUUAUUCAAACAGUGGUUCAUAAGUAGUGUAACCCCAAUUGUGGUCAUCACAGGCCGAGUAAGUAAAAGAAAAACUGCCUUAGAGACAUAAUUACUCUGUUCUUUCACAACAGUUAAUUAGCUACUGGGUGACAUUUGCUACCCUCUUCUGCCAAUGCAGUACCUAGCUGGAGCUGGUUUUGUCCACCUCCAAGCUCCUUUGUGCUGUAUGGGUGAGGGGAAAGCAAGAAAAGCACUCAGUCCCUGUUAGAUCAGUUCAUUCAGGCAGAAAAUAAAGACCUUUACCUCGGCAUAGUCACUGUGCUUGGUCUGGUCCUGUAAGGACCCAUUUAGCUCUUGACAGGUAUCUUCUGUAAAUACACUUAAUACCCUAAUAUGGAGUGGAGCGGGCAAAACCACAAAUUUUGAAUGUGAGUGUUUGAAAUAUUUUACCUAGUUCUUGAAAAAAAUCUGAGGUGAUUUAUGAUUUUCCAAUAUAGAACUGGAAUGCCAGGGGCGACAGAGAUGUGAAUUUUCUUCUGCUCCUUCAACCUCUCCCUCAACCAAGGACUUGAGAGCAAGGAUAUCUCAGUUUUAUAUUCUCCUGCAAAAUGAGACUGCUGGCAAGGAUCCUUAGGGAUGAACAAAAAAUGGCUGGAUGUAAACUUAUUGGAUAGCUCCUGCAAGAUGAAAAAAAGACCCUUUUUGAGGAUGAAAGAACAGCUCGAAUUUUGCAGUCAAGCCUGUGCUUCUGCUGAAGUCACUGCAAGAGUGACAGCUGCAGUUAUAAAUUUCAGUAUGAAGAUUAUAUAAACAUCCUCCCAUUCCUCAAAGAACUGGCCAAGACUGUCAUGUAUUUCACACAGGCUUCUUUCAGACAUCAGGUAGCAGUUGCUUUUGGUCAUUAGUGGCCUGGA